RNAcentral lists this ribosomal RNA (498 nucleotides) under uncultured bacterium. RNAcentral describes it as "partial 16S ribosomal RNA". It matches the Rfam family "Bacterial small subunit ribosomal RNA", at positions 30 to 523 of the family's 1533-position model. The record is from RNAcentral.
AUUGAACGCUAGCGGCAGGCCUAAUACAUGCAAGUCGGACGGGAUUUGGGAGCUUGCUCCUAAUGAGAGUGGCGCACGGGUGCGUAACACGUAUGUAACCUACCUUAAUCAGGGGGAUAGCCUCUCGAAAGAGAGAUUAACACCGCAUAAUAUAUUUUUAUGGCAUCGUAGAAAUAUCAAAUAUUUAUAGGAUUAAGAUGGGCAUGCGGAACAUUAGCUAGUUGGUAAGGUAACGGCUUACCAAGGCUACGAUGUUUAGGGGAUCUGAGAGGAUGACCCCCCACACUGGUACUGAGACACGGACCAGACUCCUACGGGAGGCAGCAGUAAGGAAUAUUGGUCAAUGGGCGCAAGCCUGAACCAGCCAUGCCGCGUGCAGGAAGACGGCCCUAUGGGUUGUAAACUGCUUUUGUACCGGAAUAAACCCUUUUACGUGUAAGAGGCUGAAUGUACGGUAAGAAUAAGGAUCGGCUAACUCCGUGCCAGCAGCCGCUGUAA